This 425-nucleotide ribosomal RNA is filed under the name uncultured bacterium. RNAcentral's name for it is "partial 16S ribosomal RNA". It matches the Rfam family "Bacterial small subunit ribosomal RNA", at positions 354 to 796 of the family's 1533-position model. The record is from RNAcentral.
GUGGGGAAUAUUGGGCAAUGGGCGAAAGCCUGACCCAGCAACGCCGCGUGAAGGAAGAAGGUCUUCGGAUCGUAAACUUCUAUCCUUGGUGAAGAUAAUGACGGUAGCCGAGAAGGAAGCCCCGGCUAACUACGUGCCAGCAGCCGCGGUAAUACGUAGGGGGCAAGCGUUGUCCGGAAUGAGUGGGCGUAAAGGGCGCGUAGGCGGCCUGGUAAGUCUGGAGUGAAAGUCCUGCUUUUAAGGUGGGAAUUGCUUUGGAUACUGUCGGGCUUGAGUGCAGGAGAGGUAAGUGGAAUUCACGGUGUAGCGGUGAAAUGCGUAGAGAUCGGGAGGAACACCAGUGGCGAAGGCGGCUUACUGGACUGUAACUGACGCUGAGGCGCGAAAGUGUGGGGAGCAAACAGGAUUAGAAACCCGAGUAGUCC